CCUACGGGCGGCAGCAGUGGGGAAUAUUGCACAAUGGGGGAAACCCUGAUGCAGCGACGCCGCGUGAGUGAAGAAGUAAUUCGUUACGUAAAGCUCUAUCAGCAGGGAAGAAAGACUGACCUUACGGUCAGCAGACGGUAACUGAGGAAGAAGCCCCGGCUAACUACGUGCCAGCAGCCGCGGUAAUACGUAGGGGGCAAGCGUUAUCCGGAUGUACUGGGUGGAAAGGGAGCGUAGACGUUGCGCCAAGUCUGGAGUGAAAUGCCGCCGCUUAACUGCGGAACUGCUUUGGAAACUGGCGAACUCGAGUGCGGGAGCGGUAAUCGGAAUUCCUCGUGUAGCGGU
RNAcentral lists this ribosomal RNA (345 nucleotides) under uncultured bacterium. RNAcentral's name for it is "partial 16S ribosomal RNA". It matches the Rfam family "Bacterial small subunit ribosomal RNA", at positions 338 to 682 of the family's 1533-position model. The record is from RNAcentral.